This 408-nucleotide ribosomal RNA is filed under the name Triticum aestivum (bread wheat). Its description in RNAcentral is "partial small subunit ribosomal RNA". Lineage: Eukaryota; Viridiplantae; Streptophyta; Magnoliopsida; Poales; Poaceae. The record is from RNAcentral.
AUGAAUAUCUUUUGUUGGAACUGCCAUUGUAUGGACAAAGCCAUGACAGUUCGGGAGCUUCGCGAUUUCGCGAGAAAGUUUGCCCCUGCCGUGUUGUGCAUAGUUGAAACUCAAAUAAAUGCAGCACGUGUAGAAUCUUUAGCUAACACUAUAGGUUAUGAUAAAGCUUAUGCUAUCAGUAGUAAAGGCAGGAGUGGUGGCAUCGGUAUCUUUUGGAGUAAUAAUACGGUUAUUGAGAUGUUGGGAGACUCGGUGUACCAUAUUGAUGCAAAGGUUGAAGAAGUGGGACAAGAUCCUUGGAGGUUGACGUGUCUAUGGAGCACUGGUGGAGCUACGUGUAUUAAAUAUAGGCCACGCACGGCCUGGCCAGCUAGUACCAAAUGCAAUGGAGGAUUCAAAGUAGAUUGA